This is a long non-coding RNA of Solea solea (common sole), 1898 nucleotides long. RefSeq lists it as uncharacterized. The record is from RefSeq and is a predicted model, not a curated record. Lineage: Eukaryota; Metazoa; Chordata; Actinopteri; Pleuronectiformes; Soleidae. The transcript has 3 exons.
UCAGUAACCUAAACACAUCUGUGCUACAAUAAAAAGUCACAGCGGAAAACUAUCUGGUUAUGAAACACCAAUUUUGGACUGGAUUUGUUUGACAACUUUCCAAAACAAACUUUUCCCUCGUGUGACAUUGAGAUAACUCUACUAAAAUGAUGACCUAUGUCACAAUGGGGUUUGUAUACAUGCUAACAAUUCCUCAGAUUUAUAAUGGUGGCCUGUCUCCUGUUAUAUGCUUCAAUAAAGUCUCCACUCUUUUUUACAAUGAUAGGUAAAAUGCACAUCUAAUUAUACCACAUGACGGCCCAUUUCCUCUCAGAGAUUGAGUACAAACACAACGUACAAUUUUAAUAGGUGCUCUUGUUAUGAAGCCAGACUUAUGCUUUCUUUUUCCUUUGUGAAUGUGUCUGCAUGUAAGUGUGUGAUGGGUUGCAGGUGUGCUCGCUUGAUUGAAUGACGUGUGUGAGUGUCUCGGUGGAUCCUGGCAGCUGAUUGGUUCUGUAAAAGGAGGUUUCUGUAUAAGAGAUAAGUAUCCAGAUCAUUUUGAGCUUGUUUUAAAAUGUGUUUGCAUUCAAUCGUGGGUUAAAAUAGUUUUUUUGACCAGUGGGAAUGUGUGUAGUCAGUAUUGGGUCAAAUGGCUACAGAAGCAGCAUGUGGGUUUUUAUCAGCUCUGGCUCCGAUCGCCAUUAGUGGGAAUGCAAGACUAGACUAAAGGUGCUCAUUUCUCUUGUAGUGAUGCAGAUUCUGACGUCAUUUAUCUUCUAGUCCAGGAAUGGUGUUUAUCUGCUUUUAAAAAACUGGGUUAAAAUAUCCCAGAUAAACCUAAUUCUGUUGUGCUAUAGUGUGGUGCAAAGCAGCUUUUCCAUAUGUCUCACUCUCUGUAGAAUCUUUUAGAUUAAAGAGGUCCUUAGGUGCAGCUUUUACCCUCUUGUCCUUGAUCACUGAUAUGUGAUUUGCUGGCAGAAUGAAGCAGAUUACCACAUGAGUCUUCACAGUCAGAGUUGCCCUUGGCUUGACGGGCUUAAUCAAGCAACAUGUCUCUGAGUUUAGGUCCUGUGUGUGUGUGUGUGUGUGUGUGUGUGUAUACCCACCAAUGUAUAUGUAUGCCCACACAUUCUCAACAUGGAAGUGUAAAAAAGAGAGAGAUCGUGUGUGGGUGGGAUACAUUUUGACAAAGUUCCCUAUUUUUCAGAAAUAAUCACUUGUUCCCUUUACAGAGACAAAGUUGUGUGACUCCGGGGCUGCUGGGAAGGCAAAGCCAUAAUAAAUAAAAAACUGUCUGUCUCUGUCUUUCUCUCUCUCUCCGUCUGUCUCUCUUUGCCUCUACCACUCCUGGAGCAUCAGACUCUUGUUCUUGUGGCCACUAACAAGGGGGUGUGGCUGUCACUGGAGGCGUCCGGGGCUAAAUUACCAUAUUAAUUAGCUCAUCCUUUGACCGACAAACACAGAACUGAAAUGUCACCACACUCACAUUGGCCAGAGGAAACACAAUUAGUUCAUCCUAAUGCUUGGUGUGUCUAUUUGUGAGGGCCAGAGGAAGCACGCGAAGGAAGCGGAGGAGGUGUUGCCUUUGGAAACGUUUGGAUGACAGUUUUCAAAAAGGCUUGCAUCACCUCUCCGUGUAACCUGAAGAAAGAUAUGAAACGAUGCAACGUUGCUGUAGUCCGGUGGUGGCGGUGCUGGUGGUCUGGUGGUGGCAUCCUCCCGUCUUGUCUUGCUGUGUACCUGGGAGCGGGUUUUUCGUCACUGAGAGUGUCUGCCACGUGUGCCUGGUGAUUUUUGCCUUCGUCCAUUCACUUUUGCCUCAGCCCGGAUUAGGUUUUUCCCCCUUUUUUGUUGGUAUGAAUGAGUUUCAUUGAAAUUUUAGCAUUAAUGUUUAAUAAAAAUGAUAUAAUAACUUGGAA